CGGCGGAAUGCAGCAGUGGAGAAGGCGGACCAUAGUCGGAAAUGACCGCCGGCGGAUGCAUUAGCGGAGGGGGAGUGAUCAAGGAUUAAAGAUCCGAUGUUAUUCCGGUGACACUUGGCCAUUACGCAACAGAUUUUUGUCGGGGAGCUACAUUGCUGAGGGAAAAAAGCCAAAGAGAAAGCAAAUUCGGCAGAGGGAGAGAAAGAGAGCGACCGUGUGCACUUGUGCCCUGAUAGAGAGAGAGAGAGAGAGAGAGAG
Molecule: unclassified non-coding RNA, 258 nt
Filed under: Hevea brasiliensis (rubber tree)
Lineage: Eukaryota; Viridiplantae; Streptophyta; Magnoliopsida; Malpighiales; Euphorbiaceae
Source: RNAcentral